UACAUGUGGGGCAAGCGUUGUUCGGAAUUACUGGGCAUAAAGGGUGCGUAGGCGGCUUGUUAAGUCAGGGGUGAAAGUUUUCGGCCCAACCGGAAAAUUGCCUUUGAUACUGGCGAGCUGGAGUGCGUGAGGGGUGACCGGAACGAGUGGUGUAGCGGUGAAAUGCGUAGAUAUCAGGAGGAACACCUGUGGUGUAGACAGCUUACUGGACCACUUCUGACGCUGAGACACGAAAGCGUGGGUAGCAAACAGG
Molecule: ribosomal RNA, 253 nt
Filed under: uncultured bacterium
Lineage: Bacteria
Description: partial 16S ribosomal RNA
Rfam family: Bacterial small subunit ribosomal RNA
Source: RNAcentral